This 1139-nucleotide ribosomal RNA is filed under the name Salmonella enterica. Its description in RNAcentral is "bacterial SSU rRNA". It matches the Rfam family "Bacterial small subunit ribosomal RNA", at positions 1 to 1129 of the family's 1533-position model. Lineage: Bacteria; Pseudomonadati; Pseudomonadota; Gammaproteobacteria; Enterobacterales; Enterobacteriaceae. The record is from RNAcentral. RNAcentral also lists the same sequence under 1 other name.
AAAUUGAAGAGUUUGAUCAUGGCUCAGAUUGAACGCUGGCGGCAGGCCUAACACAUGCAAGUCGAACGGUAACAGGAAGCAGCUUGCUGCUUCGCUGACGAGUGGCGGACGGGUGAGUAAUGUCUGGGAAACUGCCCGAUGGAGGGGGAUAACUACUGGAAACGGUAGCUAAUACCGCAUAAUGUCGCAAGACCAAAGUGGGGGACCUUCGGGCCUCACACCAUCGGAUGUGCCCAGAUGGGAUUAGCUUGUUGGUGGGGUAACGGCUCACCAAGGCGACGAUCCCUAGCUGGUCUGAGAGGAUGACCAGCCACACUGGAACUGAGACACGGUCCAGACUCCUACGGGAGGCAGCAGUGGGGAAUAUUGCACAAUGGGCGCAAGCCUGAUGCAGCCAUGCCGCGUGUAUGAAGAAGGCCUUCGGGUUGUAAAGUACUUUCAGCGGGGAGGAAGGCGUUGUGGUUAAUAACCGCAGCGAUUGACGUUACCCGCAGAAGAAGCACCGGCUAACUCCGUGCCAGCAGCCGCGGUAAUACGGAGGGUGCAAGCGUUAAUCGGAAUUACUGGGCGUAAAGCGCACGCAGGCGGUUUGUUAAGUCAGAUGUGAAAUCCCCGGGCUCAACCUGGGAACUGCAUUUGAAACUGGCAAGCUUGAGUCUCGUAGAGGGGGGUAGAAUUCCAGGUGUAGCGGUGAAAUGCGUAGAGAUCUGGAGGAAUACUGGUGGCGAAGGCGGCCCCCUGGACGAAGACUGACGCUCAGGUGCGAAAGCGUGGGGAGCAAACAGGAUUAGAUACCCUGGUAGUCCACGCCGUAAACGAUGUCUAUUUGGAGGUUGUGCCCUUGAGGCGUGGCUUCCGGAGCUAACGCGUUAAAUAGACCGCCUGGGGAGUACGGCCGCAAGGUUAAAACUCAAAUGAAUUGACGGGGGCCCGCACAAGCGGUGGAGCAUGUGGUUUAAUUCGAUGCAACGCGAAGAACCUUACCUGGUCUUGACAUCCACGGAAUUUGGCAGAGAUGCCUUAGUGCCUUCGGGAACCGUGAGACAGGUGCUGCAUGGCUGUCGUCAGCUCGUGUUGUGAAAUGUUGGGUUAAGUCCCGCAACGAGCGCAACCCUUAUCCUUUGUUGCCAGCGAUUAGG